AAGAGAUACAUCGCUUAUUAAUAGAGCUGUACUGAAUUGAGGAUCUCCAUUGAAUUAAUAUACAGAAGAAGCAGCGUUCAGUUUUUCAGAGCAGAAAGUGGAGGAGCUGGUGCUUCAGAAGUUUGUGUUUUGCUGUUGACAUUUUUCUGCACAGCACAAGAAGGAAACUAUUACAAGAUGUGUAGAUGGAUCCUGUGAUUCCUCAGAAAUAUUGCUCUGUGAAGUAUGCCAGGCAUCACCGUGUUCAUCAUGUUGACCCAGUAGGCCAUGACUGAAAGACCUUUGUCUAGAUGGGUCAAGGAUCUUGAAAUCAUGAAUACCAGUGAGAAGAAUCUGCUUAUAAAAUAGAAUUAUAUGCAGGAGCGAGCCAGGACCAAGAAAGGAGCCAAAAGAUGAGGCAGAACCGGAGCAGAACAUCUCUCUGGAUCCAUGUUAACGUGACCUGACUGUC
Long non-coding RNA from Hyla sarda, 451 nucleotides. RefSeq lists it as uncharacterized. The transcript is spliced from 3 exons. NCBI's taxonomy places the organism in Eukaryota, Metazoa, Chordata, Amphibia, Anura, Hylidae. The record is from RefSeq and is a predicted model, not a curated record.